GAGGGUAUAGCUCAGUGGUAGAAUGCCUGAUUAGCAUGCACAAGAUCCUGGAUUCAAUCUCCAGUACCUCCA
RNAcentral lists this transfer RNA (72 nucleotides) under Camelus dromedarius (Arabian camel). It matches the Rfam family "tRNA". From Rfam's summary of the family: Transfer RNA (tRNA) molecules are approximately 80 nucleotides in length. Their secondary structure includes four short double-helical elements and three loops (D, anti-codon, and T loops). Further hydrogen bonds mediate the characteristic L-shaped molecular structure. tRNAs have two regions of fundamental functional importance: the anti-codon, which is responsible for specific mRNA codon recognition, and the 3' end, to which the tRNAs corresponding amino acid is attached (by aminoacyl-tRNA synthetases). tRNAs cope with the degeneracy of the genetic code in two manners: having more than one tRNA (with a specific anti-codon) for a particular amino acid; and 'wobble' base-pairing, i.e. permitting non-standard base-pairing at the 3rd anti-codon position. RNAcentral also lists the same sequence under 1 other name. Lineage: Eukaryota; Metazoa; Chordata; Mammalia; Artiodactyla; Camelidae. The record is from Rfam by way of RNAcentral.